CAUAACCAACUACUGAGUUUUGGAGUGAUGGGGUUAUUCUUUAUAUUCUAUUGAUUUGGUACAUUUGACAUCAUUUUAAGGUAAUAUAAUAGCAAAAUAUGUUAACAUUUACGUUCCAAAUUUGUUGAAGCUAUUUGUUCCAUGAGAUGUGAAACUUUUUGGUUACUUCAUAAUUUGAUUCAUUUACUUUCUACACAAUGC
RNAcentral lists this long non-coding RNA (201 nucleotides) under Medicago truncatula (barrel medic). Its description in RNAcentral is "long non-coding RNA (MTRU_LNC001036)". The record is from RNAcentral. Lineage: Eukaryota; Viridiplantae; Streptophyta; Magnoliopsida; Fabales; Fabaceae.